GUCAGGAUGGCCGAGUGGUCUAAGGCGCCAGACUCAAGGUUCAAACCUUCCCGUAAAAUGGGAUUUCUGGUCUCCGAAUGGAGGCGUGGGUUCGAAUCCCACUUCUGACA
Molecule: transfer RNA, 110 nt
Filed under: Danio rerio (zebrafish)
Lineage: Eukaryota; Metazoa; Chordata; Actinopteri; Cypriniformes; Danionidae
Rfam family: tRNA
About the family: Transfer RNA (tRNA) molecules are approximately 80 nucleotides in length. Their secondary structure includes four short double-helical elements and three loops (D, anti-codon, and T loops). Further hydrogen bonds mediate the characteristic L-shaped molecular structure. tRNAs have two regions of fundamental functional importance: the anti-codon, which is responsible for specific mRNA codon recognition, and the 3' end, to which the tRNAs corresponding amino acid is attached (by aminoacyl-tRNA synthetases). tRNAs cope with the degeneracy of the genetic code in two manners: having more than one tRNA (with a specific anti-codon) for a particular amino acid; and 'wobble' base-pairing, i.e. permitting non-standard base-pairing at the 3rd anti-codon position.
Source: Rfam by way of RNAcentral